Long non-coding RNA from Cornus florida, 2859 nucleotides. RefSeq lists it as uncharacterized. The record is from RefSeq and is a predicted model, not a curated record. The transcript is spliced from 3 exons. Lineage: Eukaryota; Viridiplantae; Streptophyta; Magnoliopsida; Cornales; Cornaceae.
UUAAAAUGUUAGUAAUUGGAUAGUAACUACAGCGCAAAUUAAGGGUAUGUUGGCAAGAAUAAAGUUGGAGCCGGGUCUAAUCCUUAUCCGACCUUGUAACUUCGAUACCAUAAUUGCCUUUAUAUUAUUCAUUAAAAACACGUUUCUUGCACAUUCAGCAUUAUAUAAAAUAGCUUUCCUCUUGCAGAGACAAGAGCUUUCCUCUUUCAAAGAGCUUAAAUUUUUUUUUUUUUUUGUUUCUCUCUCUCUCUCUCUCUCUCUCUAUAUAUAUAUAUAUAUAUAUAUAUGUAUCAUUCUUCUCUCUUUAGGAAAUCUCCUUGUCUUCCAUUUAUUCAUCUGCGAACCCUAGUCUUUUCCAUCCGUAUCACGAUCGCUCGCUCGCUCGCUCAAACCACGAAUCACAUUUUGGAUCUCCUAUUAUGGCUUCUGUAUCUUCAGGUCGUAACCAUUCGGGUUCGAAAGUUGUUAUAGGAGAAACAAAUUUUUUAUUUUGUUUUUAAACAAAUAACUCUUUAAAUUACAAAAUAGUUACAACUAAACCCACUAUCAUCAAUUUGACGUUAAAACAUUAGUGAGAGGAAGGCGGAGGUUGACUCAUAAUUACAUAAUUAGCCAUGUGCAUGUGCUCUGCACAUGACUAAUAUUGUUCUUGUUAUAUUAUACGAUACCCGGCACAACAGAUCAUUCUCCAUCAAGGAUCUAUCUUGAAGGCGGUUGCUGCUUGUGGUGAACAAUCUUCGUUUCAGUUUGUUCAGGUGCUGCAAAGGAUCUCCUAGGCUCAACCACAUUUAGUGGCUUUCAUUCUUGUUGAUUUAACCAUUAUAUUAUUCUGUUUUUGGUGAACUGGUAAUCAUUGCAUGAUGAGGGACAAGAAAGAAUACAAGUAAAAGCAAUAUUAACAUGGUUUCACUCAUCUGCUUCUCUUACAUGUUGGCUAUUUGAGAAGGUUUUCGAUUGUAAUUUUGGAGGUAUUGGUUUGCAAGCUCUGGACCUCGUGAUUUUUCAAUGUCCAUGGGUUUGUUCUUCUUAUUGCAUAAUUUGUGAGGUUGGAAUUUGUAAUUCUUUGGUGUGUAAAAUUUUUGGCAUUAGUGUUAGCUCUCCUUUGUCACAUAAUUUAUGAGUAGGAUUCCAUGUAAAACUGCUGUGAUCAUUCCAUCUCUUAAAAGUUUGAAUGUCUAAUGCUUUUUUUGGCCCUUUUCUCAUUCAAUGCUCAGAAUCAUCUUAUUUUCACUUCAAUAUAAUGCCGCCAUUACACUUCCUCUUAUUUUUGUUCUGAACAUAAAUUUCCUUGAGCUUUGCUUAUAAUGUAGCCAAGUAAGGGGACUAUUUGAACCAUUAAAGUCCACUCUUGUUAGCUCUCCCAUGAGAAGAUAGCAUGCAGUUGUAGAUCAAGCAAAGUUGCAUAGGAUCAUUGCUUGGCAUACUUAAGAGUCAUGCUAGAAUCUAGUUGUCUUGUCAUUUCCAACAACAAACCUGAUAUAUUUGGAAAUGUCCUCCCACCACUUCUUAUAAACUUCCAAAAUCUUGAUCCAGACGACACACUACUUUGAGCACUACUCACCCCUGACACACUGGCACUUCCACAUGUUUUCUCUACAAUGUCUCUCUUAAGACAUUUCUGAUCCCCUCCGAAGUUCUCCACAAACGUCUUCAGAGCUUUAUUGGAAAACCAAAGGUGCCUAAUCCCCAAAUCACUUUACAAGGAGAUAAAUAUAUUGAUAUCAGCCAUUACUUUUGUGGCACCCCUUACAAUAAACGAUUAAAUUUCUCAUUUCUUUAAUGCAUUAUUUCUUUUGAUGUUGUUUCGUCAUUUCACUAUCGCUUUUCAAGUGAGUAUAGAAGUAGCUAUAAGAUAGAGGUUAUGAAUUUAUUUUGUUUUGGCAUUCUACUAUUCUUCCAUUGUUUCUAUGAUAUUAGGUUAAAUAUCAAAGGAAAAUAGCAAUCAUAGGAAACACUUAAAAGGAUGAAUGUUAAAUGGUUUGGCAAAAGGAUGAAUGCUUUUGUCUGAUGUAACUAGGAAAAUUUGUCACAAGAGAAACACUUAAAACAAGCAUCACAUAAUCUAUAGAUUAGUUGUUUAGUAACACGUCUCCGACUGGUAAGAUGCAUCAUAAAGAAGUAUCUGUAGUACUCAUUUAUACCAAUCCAGCCAGCUUUUGACUGAUCUCCCAUAAUCUACGUGCCUUCUCUGCAUCACUGGCUUCUCUAGAGAGCUUGUUUUCAAAUAAGGCAGAGUUCUUGUUCCAGCUCCGGUAUACACCCGAUUUUGUUAAGGUUGGAUCGCUCACUACCUGAAACACGAAGGAUGGUUUAGUUGGUGUACUACUCAGAACUAAGUUAAUAGCUUUCUCUUGUGAAAAUUUUAACUGACCUGUGCAAGUCUUUUCCCAGCUUCCUCUUCAGAUACAUAACCUUUGGUGAUGUACUUUUGGAAGGGGGGGAAGAGUAGCCUGAGCAAGGGGAUAUGCUCCCUGAACAAGCCUGUGGUAGCAAUGCAACCGGGGUAGAGGGAAGCAAAGGUGAUUCCUGUCUCCUCGUAGUAGCAUCUGUGGAACUCUUGCAUGGUGAGCAUAUUGCAGACUUUGCUGUCCUUGUAGGCCUUGGCACCAUCAAAGUCACCCCCAUCUAUCAUGGGUGAGCGUUUAGCCCAUUCAAGCCUCCUGCAAGUCCCCUCAGAUCCCCAAGGUUAGCCUUUGGAGGCACAUUCCCAGCCAAGGUGUUUGUGUUUCCUGAAGUUCAAGUUAGAAUACAACCAUAUUUAGAACAUUUAUUCUGCUUAUUAUAGCCCGUUUAGAUAUAUACAUGAUUGUUAUUUCUAAAAAACAAGAUAUAUACAUGAUUGUUAUUUCUAAAAAACAA